GACGAACGCUGGCGGCGUGCUUAACACAUGCAAGUCGAACGGAAAGGCCCUGCUUUUGUGGGGUGCUCGAGUGGCGAACGGGUGAGUAACACGUGAGUAACCUGCCCUUGACUUUGGGAUAACUUCAGGAAACUGGGGCUAAUACCGGAUAGGAGCUCCUGCUGCAUGGUGGGGGUUGGAACGUUUCGGCGGUUGGGGAUGGACUCGCGGCUUAUCAGCUUGUUGGUGGGGUAGUGGCUUACCAAGGCUUUGACGGGUAGCCGGCCUGAGAGGGUGACCGGCCACAUGGGGACUGAGAUACGGCGCAGACUCCUACGGGAGGCAGCAGUGGGGAAUAUUGCACAAUGGGCGGAAGCCUGAGGCAGCAACGCCGCGUUCGGGAUGACGGCCUUCGGGUUGUAAACCGCUUUCGCCUGUGACGAAGCGUGAGUGACGGUAAUGGGUAAAGAAGCACCGGCUAACUACGUG
Molecule: ribosomal RNA, 468 nt
Filed under: uncultured bacterium
Lineage: Bacteria
Description: partial 16S ribosomal RNA
Rfam family: Bacterial small subunit ribosomal RNA
Source: RNAcentral